This 430-nucleotide ribosomal RNA is filed under the name bacterium. RNAcentral's name for it is "partial 16S ribosomal RNA". It matches the Rfam family "Bacterial small subunit ribosomal RNA", at positions 355 to 776 of the family's 1533-position model. The record is from RNAcentral.
UGGGGAAUAUUGGACAAUGGGCGCAAGCCUGAUCCAGCCAUGCCGCGUGUGUGAAGAAGGCCUUUUGGUUGUAAAGCACUUUAAGCGAGGAGGAGGCUACUUGGAUUAAUACUCUAGGAUAGUGGACGUUACUCGCAGAAUAAGCACCGACUAACUCUGUGCCAGCAGCCGCGGUAAUACAGAGGGUGCGAGCGUUAAUCGGAUUUACUGGGCGUAAAGCGUGCGUAGGCGGCUUCUUAAGUCGGAUGUGAAAUCCCUGAGCUUAACUUAGGAAUUGCAUUCGAUACUGGGAAGCUAGAGUAUGGGAGAGGAUGGUAGAAUUCCAGGUGUAGCGGUGAAAUGCGUAGAGAUCUGGAGGAAUACCGAUGGCGAAGGCAGCCAUCUGGCCUAAUACUGACGCUGAGGUACGAAAGCAUGGGGAGCAAACAGG